RNAcentral lists this ribosomal RNA (301 nucleotides) under uncultured bacterium. Its description in RNAcentral is "partial 16S ribosomal RNA". It matches the Rfam family "Bacterial small subunit ribosomal RNA", at positions 509 to 807 of the family's 1533-position model. The record is from RNAcentral.
CAGUAGCCGCGGGAAAACGGAGGGGGCUAGCGUUGUUCGGAAUUACUGGGCGUAAAGCGCACGUAGGCGGCUUUGUAAGUUAGAGGUGAAAGCCUGGAGCUCAACUCCAGAAUUGCCUUUAAGACUGCAUCGCUUGAAUCGCGGAGAGGUGAGUGGAAUUCCGAGUGUAGAGGUGAAAUUCGUAGAUAUUCGGAAGAACACCAGUGGCGAAGGCGGCUCACUGGACGCGUAUUGACGCUGAGGUGCGAAAGCGCGGGGAGCAAACAGGAUUAGAUACCCCUGUAGUCCCUGUCUCUUAUAC